This 33-nucleotide ribosomal RNA is filed under the name Beauveria bassiana. Its description in RNAcentral is "partial 28S ribosomal RNA". Lineage: Eukaryota; Fungi; Ascomycota; Sordariomycetes; Hypocreales; Cordycipitaceae. The record is from RNAcentral.
GUUGACCUCGAAUCAGGUAGGACUACCCGCUGA